Molecule: long non-coding RNA, 819 nt
Filed under: Marmota monax (woodchuck)
Lineage: Eukaryota; Metazoa; Chordata; Mammalia; Rodentia; Sciuridae
Source: RNAcentral
UGCAGCCCAGGGAGCCACCCAGAGCUGGAGGCUGUGUGCUGGGCCUCGGCCAGGAGCCUCCCUUCCUGUCAAGCCCCUUCCCCGGGCUCGGGCACAGGGCCGGCUCUCUGGGUACAACUGCAGCUGUCAAUCAGCAUGGCACUGGCCUUGGUCUUGGGAGGUGAGAGUGGGAGGUGCCGCUCCCACAUGGUCACCAAACAGCCCUACUGCUCAAAGCCAGGCCAGUCCUGGGUACCAGGGCCUGGGGUGUGGGUUGGAUAAUGCCCUUGCCCCAAGGAGCUCACAGCCUGUGGUGGAUAAAUCACAGGCCCCAAAAGUUGGUGUGACUCAGCCCGAGGCACACCGCUGGGUGGCAAUGGAAUGGGGACAGAACCCAGGGCUCCUGCUCACCAGGACUGCUCCCCAGCCUCCAGGCCAGGGUGGGGCAGGGGACGUUUUCCAGGGAAAGAUCUUGACCCUUUUCGAGGGCCAUGGAUGGAGGGUGGUCCACAGGAGAACAGUUGAUCCCCCUGCCCACCCUGGGUUCCCAUAGUUGCUGUUCCAGUCUAAUGAAGUCUGUCUUCUAGAAAUGCCCUGGACAACGAGGACCUUUCCAGAUGACAGGGACCACAGAUCGGCUUCACAUACCAGGGAGUUGCUGGCUCCGUUGAGCCAAGCUGUGGAGAUCAGCUCCUGCCACUCACCCCUGAGACCCAAGCUCAAGCUUCCCCUCGGCCAGGGUCCCCACGGCCCCUCAUCCUUCCACCAAGUCCAGCCUCCUGGGUCAGCCUUCCCCACGGCACCCCCAGGGCUCAGCAGUCCUGGAGGCCUGGCCCUGAA